Molecule: ribosomal RNA, 484 nt
Filed under: uncultured bacterium
Lineage: Bacteria
Description: partial 16S ribosomal RNA
Rfam family: Bacterial small subunit ribosomal RNA
Source: RNAcentral
AUUGAACGCUGGCGGCAGGCCUAACACAUGCAAGUCGAGCGGAUGCACGGGGCUUGUUCCUCGCUGAAGCGGGGGACGGGUGCGUGAGGGCUAUGUAUGUGCCUGGGCGUGAGGGAUGGGGUUAGGUACCGGAAGCGGAUACCGCAACCGUAUAGAGGGGGAAAAUCAGGGAUCUUCAGACCCAGGGCUCUUAGCUGAGCCUAGGUCGGAUUAGCUAGUUGGUGGGGUAAGGGCCUACCAAGGCGACGAUCCGUAGCUGGUCUGAGAGGAUGAUCAGUCACACUGGAACUGAGACACGGUCCAGACUCCUACGGGAGGCAGCAGUGGGGAAUAUUGCACAAUGGGCGAAAGCCUGAUGCAGCCAUGCCGCGUGUGUGAAGAAGGUCUUCGGAUUGUAAAGCACUUUAAGUGGGGAGGAAGGGCAGUAAGUUAAUACCUUCAUGUCUUGACGUUACCAACAGAAGAAGCACCGGCUAACUUCGUG